This 577-nucleotide ribosomal RNA is filed under the name Bacillus pseudomycoides. Its description in RNAcentral is "bacterial SSU rRNA". It matches the Rfam family "Bacterial small subunit ribosomal RNA", at positions 85 to 647 of the family's 1533-position model. The record is from RNAcentral. Lineage: Bacteria; Bacillati; Bacillota; Bacilli; Caryophanales; Bacillaceae.
UAUGAAGUUAGCGGCGGACGGGUGAGUAACACGUGGGUAACCUGCCCAUAAGACUGGGAUAACUCCGGGAAACCGGGGCUAAUACCGGAUAACAUUUUGCACCGCAUGGUGCGAAAUUGAAAGGCGGCUUCGGCUGUCACUUAUGGAUGGACCCGCGUCGCAUUAGCUAGUUGGUGAGGUAACGGCUCACCAAGGCAACGAUGCGUAGCCGACCUGAGAGGGUGAUCGGCCACACUGGGACUGAGACACGGCCCAGACUCCUACGGGAGGCAGCAGUAGGGAAUCUUCCGCAAUGGACGAAAGUCUGACGGAGCAACGCCGCGUGAGUGAUGAAGGCUUUCGGGUCGUAAAACUCUGUUGUUAGGGAAGAACAAGUGCUAGUUGAAUAAGCUGGCACCUUGACGGUACCUAACCAGAAAGCCACGGCUAACUACGUGCCAGCAGCCGCGGUAAUACGUAGGUGGCAAGCGUUAUCCGGAAUUAUUGGGCGUAAAGCGCGCGCAGGUGGUUUCUUAAGUCUGAUGUGAAAGCCCACGGCUCAACCGUGGAGGGUCAUUGGAAACUGGGAGACUUGAGU